CAGCCGCCGCGGUAAAACGAAGGGUGCAAGCGUUAAUCGGAAUUACUGGGCGUAAAGCGUGCGUAGGCGGUUUGUUAAGUCUGUUGUGAAAUCCCCGGGCUCAACCUGGGAAUGGCAAUGGAUACUGGCAAGCUAGAGUGUGUCAGAGGAUGGUGGAAUUCCCGGUGUAGCGGUGAAAUGCGUAGAGAUCGGGAGGAACAUCAGUGGCGAAGGCGGCCAUCUGGGACAACACUGACGCUGAGGCACGAAAGCGUGGGGAGCAAACAGGAUUAGAUACCCCAGUAGUCCCUGUCUCUUAUAC
Molecule: ribosomal RNA, 301 nt
Filed under: uncultured bacterium
Lineage: Bacteria
Description: partial 16S ribosomal RNA
Rfam family: Bacterial small subunit ribosomal RNA
Source: RNAcentral